RNAcentral lists this ribosomal RNA (253 nucleotides) under uncultured bacterium. RNAcentral describes it as "partial 16S ribosomal RNA". It matches the Rfam family "Bacterial small subunit ribosomal RNA", at positions 524 to 776 of the family's 1533-position model. The record is from RNAcentral.
UACGAAGGGGGCUAGCGUUGCUCGGAAUCACUGGGCGUAAAGCGCACGUAGGCGGAUUGUUAAGUCAGGGGUGAAAUCCUGGAGCUCAACUCCAGAACUGCCUUUGAUACUGGCGAUCUUGAGUCCGGGAGAGGUGAGUGGAACUCCGAGUGUAGAGGUGAAAUUCGUAGAUAUUCGGAAGAACACCAGUGGCGAAGGCAGCUCGCUGGGACGUUACUGACGCUGAGACGCGAAAGCGUGGGGAGCAAACAGG